This 400-nucleotide ribosomal RNA is filed under the name uncultured bacterium. RNAcentral's name for it is "bacterial SSU rRNA". It matches the Rfam family "Bacterial small subunit ribosomal RNA", at positions 356 to 773 of the family's 1533-position model. The record is from RNAcentral.
GGGGAAUAUUGGACAAUGGGCGCAAGCCUGAUCCAGCCAUGCCGCGUGAGUGAUGAAGGCCUUAGGGUUGUAAAGCUCUUUCGCCGAGGACGAUAAUGACGGUACUCGGAUAAGAAGCCCCGGCUAACUUCGUGCCAGCAGCCGCGGUAAUACGAAGGGGGCUAGCGUUGUUCGGAAUUACUGGGCGUAAAGCGUAUGCAGGCGGAUCUUUAAGUCAGGGGUGAAAUCCCGAGGCUCAACCUCGGAACUGCCUUUGAUACUGGAGAUCUUGAGUCCGGGAGAGGUUAGUGGAACUGCGAGUGUAGAGGUGAAAUUCGUAGAUAUUCGCAAGAACACCAGUGGCGAAGGCGGCUAACUGGCCCGGUACUGACGCUGAGAUACGAAAGCGUGGGGAGCAAAC